This 657-nucleotide ribosomal RNA is filed under the name uncultured bacterium. RNAcentral's name for it is "bacterial SSU rRNA". It matches the Rfam family "Bacterial small subunit ribosomal RNA", at positions 61 to 573 of the family's 1533-position model. The record is from RNAcentral.
GUCGAACGAAGUAAGUUGCUUCACCAAGUGUUGAAUAGAUACCCCAAGCGCAUUUGCCAAAGGGUAAGCGAAAAGUACUAUCAAUUAAAUAAAAUGGUGAAACAAAAGAAUAGCGAAGAAGAAGCAAAUGCGCUUCACGCUAAUUCCAAGUACCAACACAAAACAAAUUCAAUGUUUGGUGAAGCAACUUGCUUAGUGGCGGACGGGUGAGUAACGCGUGAACAAUCUGCCCCGUACAAAGGGAUAGCCUCGGGAAACCGGGAUUAAAACCAUAUAACACUUAACUGCCGCAUGGUAGUGAAGUCAAAUCGAUUAAGAGGUAUGGGAUGAGUUCGCGUCUGAUUAGCUAGUUGGUGAGGUAAGGGCUCACCAAGGCGACGAUCAGUAGCCGGCCUGAGAGGGUGAACGGCCACACUGGAACUGAGACACGGUCCAGACUCCUACGGGAGGCAGCAGUGGGGAAUAUUGCACAAUGGAGGGAACUCUGAUGCAGCGACGCCGCGUGAGUGAAGAAGGUCUUCGGAUCGUAAAACUCUGUCCUUGGUGAAGAAAAGGACGGUAGCCAAGGAGGAAGCCCCGGCUAACUACGUGCCAGCAGCCGCGGUAAUACGUAGGGGGCGAGCGUUGUCCGGAUUUACUGGGCGUAAAGGGUGAGUA